This 695-nucleotide ribosomal RNA is filed under the name uncultured Pelobacter sp. RNAcentral describes it as "bacterial SSU rRNA". It matches the Rfam family "Bacterial small subunit ribosomal RNA", at positions 421 to 1109 of the family's 1533-position model. Lineage: Bacteria; Pseudomonadati; Thermodesulfobacteriota; Desulfuromonadia; Desulfuromonadales; Desulfuromonadaceae. The record is from RNAcentral.
GGUUGUAAACCCCUGUCAGGUGGGGCGAAGGGCCUGCAGUGAAUAACUGCAGUCCUUGACGGUACCACCAGAGGAAGCCCCGGCUAACUCCGUGCCAGCAGCCGCGGUAAUACGGAGGGGGCGAGCGUUAUUCGGAAUUACUGGGCGUAAAGGGCGCGUAGGCGGCCAUCUAAGUCAGACGUGAAAUCCCCCGGCUUAACCUGGGAACUGCGUCUGAUACUGGACGGCUCGAGUUUGGGAGAGGGAUGUAGAAUUCCAGGUGUAGCGGUGAAAUGCGUAGAUAUCUGGAGGAAUACCGGUGGCGAAGGCGGCAUCCUGGACCAACACUGACGCUGAGGCGCGAAAGCUAGGGGAGCAAACGGGAUUAGAUACCCCGGUAGUCCUAGCCCUAAACGAUGAAUGCUUGGUGUGGCGGGUAUCGAUCCCUGCCGUGCCGAAGCUAACGCAUUAAGCAUUCCGCCUGGGGAGUACGGUCGCAAGGCUGAAACUCAGAGGAAUUGACGGGGGCCCGCACAAUCGGUGGAGCAUGUGGUUCAAUUCGACGCAACGCGAAGAACCUUACCUGGGCUCGAAAUGCAGCUGACAUCCGGUGAAAGCCGGCUCCCGCAAGGGCAGCUGUAUAGGUGCUGCAUGGCUGUCGUCAGCUCGUGUCGUGAGAUGUUGGGUUAAGUCCCGCAAGGAGCGCAACGCUCGUC